This 515-nucleotide ribosomal RNA is filed under the name uncultured bacterium. RNAcentral describes it as "partial 16S ribosomal RNA". It matches the Rfam family "Bacterial small subunit ribosomal RNA", at positions 28 to 523 of the family's 1533-position model. The record is from RNAcentral.
GAUGAACGCUGGCGGCGUGCCUAAUACAUGCAAGUCGAGCGAAUGGAUUAAGAGCUUGCUCUUAUGAAGUUAGCGGCGGACGGGUGAGUAACACGUGGGUAACCUGCCCAUAAGACUGGGAUAACUCCGGGAAACCGGGGCUAAUACCGGAUAACAUUUUGAACCGCAUGGUUCGAAAUUGAAAGGCGGCUUCGGCUGUCACUUAUGGAUGGACCCGCGUCGCAUUAGCUAGUUGGUGAGGUAACGGCUCACCAAGGCAACGAUGCGUAGCCGACCUGGGAGGGUGAUCGGCCCCACGGGGACUGAGACACGGCCGAGAAUCCGACGGGAGGCAGCAGUAGGGAAACUUCCGCAAUGGACGAAAGGCUGACGAAGCAACGCCGCGUGAGUGAUGAAGGCUUUCGGGUCGUAAAACUCUGUUGUUAGGGAAGAACAAGUGCUAGUUGAAUAAGCUGGCACCUUGACGGUACCUAACCAGAAAGCCACGGCUAACUACGUGCCAGCAGCCGCCGUAA